Beta vulgaris subsp. vulgaris (sugar beet) is the source of this 2536-nucleotide RNA transcript. RefSeq lists it as uncharacterized. The transcript has 3 exons. Lineage: Eukaryota; Viridiplantae; Streptophyta; Magnoliopsida; Caryophyllales; Amaranthaceae. The record is from RefSeq and is a predicted model, not a curated record.
AGUAUAUAUACUAUAAAAUUUGAGUGGAAUGCCAAAAUUAAUUAUAGUUUAGCACUAUAAAUAGGAAGGACUGUGUGUAGGAAAGAGUAGAGCUUACAAGCAAAUUAUUCUUUUAGUAAGAUUAAUGUACAAGUAUACGCGGGAAUUACAAAUUUAUAAGCAGAUGGAGAGUAUCUCAGUUAAAUUCUUAGCUCCUGCUGUUUUAGCGAUAUUGUUCUUGCUGACUAUCACAACAGGUUAAUUACUGCCCUUAAUAAAUUAGCUUUAAUGUAUAUUGUAUAGUGUAUAUCCUUUGUUUUUUUCCUUUGUUUGGGCUUGUUUGCUGCAGGUGUAAACUUUAAGUUUUUUUUUUUGUUUUUAUACUUAUCAACGUAAAAACUAUAUUUUGCAAAUCCCAGAAAACAUACUUUUAGAAGCAUCUCUAUUCUAUAUGGGAAGAGGGGUAGGACACCAAAAUUACAAAACACCCAUUUUACCCUCACUAAUCUUUAUUUUAUAUGUCAAGAGGGUAGAACACUAUUAAAAAAAAAAAAAGGGUAACUAACUGCUGUAUUUAGAGCACUCCCAAUGGUGAUGGGUUUGAUCACCAAAAUUUCCUACUUACUCAUGUUUUGAUCAUUUCAUGAUCAAAUGUAUCACCUCCACCCCACUCAUGAACAAAAAAACCAUCAAACUUCACUUUAUCUCUCCUACUUUUCACUACCCCACCUCAACUUUCUCUCUCCUAUUUCUCUUUCCUACUUCAAUAAAUAAUAUAAUUUACAUAUUAAAAAUAAAAAUAAAUCAUCUUAUGAUUACUUAAAAUUAUAAUAAUUAAUUACCAAAAUUAAUUAUCAUUAUUGGGUUAUUAGUAAAAUAAAAAUUUAUUAGAAAAUAUGAUUUUUUUCCCUCUUUUUAGGUGAGAAGGAGAAGGUAAAAAAUUAUAGAGAAAAAUGAUGUAUAAAUAUUUUUAGAGAGAAAGGUGAGGAGGAGAAGUGUUUUUUUUUUUUGUUCUGAAAUAUAUCAAUAUGGGUAUCAUUUUAUAGAGGGAAAAAAAAUAUGAAUUUUGGUAUUUUUUUUUUUUUUUUGAAAUACAAAUUUUCUGGGAAAUUCCGUGGAAAUUUCCACGAAAUUUCCCAAAAAGAACACAGCAGCAGCCACGUGGCAGCUUGCCACUGGCUGGCUGUGUGUGACUAGGCUGAUUUUGUCUUCCAUUCACACAUUUCAUUUGCUGAUGGAUUUGUUCACAUGGUGAUGGAUGACAAAACAUGUCAUUUGGUGAUAGGUUUUCUAUCACCAAUGGGAUACAUGUUUUUUUUGUUCAACCCAAAUUUUCUGAUUUUGGUGAUGAGUUAUGUCACCAUUGGGAGUGCUCUUAAAUAACUAACUGCUGUAUUUAAAUUACAUAAAACUACUCUAUUUGAAAGCAGAAAAAAUUAAGAUUGACAAAAUAAACCACCGCACAACCGUGGAAGACAGUUUUUACAUUAUCAUCCAUUUUUCUUUUAACCUACAUCCAUUUCUAAACAUUAAGAUCAAACUUCAAUACAAAGCUUAGUCAAUGUUCAGAAUUAAAAGAAAUAGUAUUAACACAACAAACAACUUCAUCUCUCCUAAGAAAACAAUUAUAUUCAACAAACCGAUUGAAAUCACGAUCACUAUCUCCAACUUCCUUCAAGGUACUUUGAAUAGGAAGAAGAAGCACACAGCUUGCAGGCAAUAGACAAUGGCAAUAGGAUUUCAUCCCUUGCAGUUCCAACAGUCACGAGCGUCUCCAGUGCUGGGAAGGAUGCCAACUAAAACUUCUGCAGAAAUGUUAGUAGAAUAUAAAGUGACAGUAAUAGAAGAAGUGGCAAAAAUCGAACCCUAUGUAGAUCAAUCUGGAAACCAGCAACCAAAAAUUGAUGUUUUGGAGGUCCAAAGUGAUAAGCAAGUCGCAGCAACUACGGCAGAAGUAGUAUUGGAGUGCCAAGGAAACAAGGAGUACUGUAACCUGCUCCCAUUUGUUGGAAAAAAAUGUUGCUCUGGAUACAUUUGUGUUCCAUUAGCAGGUGUUGCUGGUGGUGCAUGUCUGAGAGUCUGAGAAGUGAGAACAACAGGAACUAUUAAUGAAGUAUACCACAAUUAGUUGAUUUAUUUCUUGUUUUUCUCCACAAUUCCUACAUCUACUUCAUAAUGUACUGUGUCAUCUGCUUGCUUUUCUGCUCUCUGCUUGUUGAGUAAACAAGUAGCAAGUACUAGCAAGAAGAGCAAAGUCAAUAAGAUUUGUCAGGUUGAAUUAAUACUUUUGGCAAAUUCUAUAGAAGACGAUUUUCGUGUUUGGAAACAUAGUGAAAAUAAGAGUUUUUUACGGGGUAUUUUGUGGGAAGAUACCUUAUUAUUUUUUUUUUGUGGGGAUAUACCAACUUAAAUUUAAGUUUUUGUUAUAAUGUACCAAAAACAUUAUUUUUGGCGAGAAAGUCAAAUUUCCGACCUUUAAAUUGCUUAAAUAAUCUUUUUAUAGUGCGUGACAUUCAAUUACUUCUAUUAAAUACAUUUCCCUCCAACUUACACACUA